Molecule: ribosomal RNA, 378 nt
Filed under: uncultured bacterium
Lineage: Bacteria
Description: bacterial SSU rRNA
Rfam family: Bacterial small subunit ribosomal RNA
Source: RNAcentral
UAAUACGUAGGGACCGAGCGUUGUCCGGAUUCAUUGGGCGUAAAGAGCUCGUAGGCGGCCACUCAAGUCGAAUGUGAAACCUCGAGGCUUAACCUCGAGCCUGCAUUCGAUACUGGGCGGCUAGAGUCUGGUAGGGGGAUCUGGAAUUCCUGGUGUAGCGGUGGAAUGCGCAGAUAUCAGGAGGAACACCGGUGGCGAAGGCGGGAUCCUGGGCCAGUACUGACGCUGAGGAGCGAAAGCGUGGGGAGCAAACAGGAUUAGAUACCCUGGUAGUCCACGCCGUAAACGAUGGGCGCUAGGUGUGGGAGGUCAUCGACUCCUUCCGUGCCGCAGCUAACGCAUUAAGCGCCCCGCCUGGGGAGUACGGCCGCAAGGCUA